This 500-nucleotide ribosomal RNA is filed under the name uncultured bacterium. RNAcentral describes it as "bacterial SSU rRNA". It matches the Rfam family "Bacterial small subunit ribosomal RNA", at positions 878 to 1386 of the family's 1533-position model. The record is from RNAcentral.
GAGUACGGUCGCAAGAUUAAACUCAAGGAAUGACGGGGCCUGCACAAGCGGUGGAGCAUGUGGUUAAUUCGAAGCAACGCGCAGAACCUUACCAGCGUUUGACACCCCGCGCUACUUCCAGAGAUGGAAGGUUCCCUUCGGGACGCGGUGACAGGUGCUGCAUGGCUGUCGUCAGCUCGUGUCGUGAGAUGUUGGGUUAAGUCCCGCAACGAGCGCAACCCUCGUCCUUAGUUGCCAUCAUUCAGUGGGCCAUCUUAAGAAACCGCCCGGUGAUAGCCCGGAGAAAGUGGGGGUUGACGUCAAUUCCUCUUGGCCUUUCCACCCUGGGCUCCACACGGGUUCCAAGGGCGGUGACAGUGGGCAGCAACCACGGGAGUGUGAGUUAUUUCCCAAAAGCCGUCUCAGUUCGGAUUGUUUUCUGCAACUCAAGAGCAUGAAGGCGGAAUCGCUAGUAAUCGCGGAUCAGCAUGCCGCGGUGAAUACGUUCCCAGGCCUUGUAA